RNAcentral lists this ribosomal RNA (492 nucleotides) under uncultured bacterium. RNAcentral's name for it is "partial 16S ribosomal RNA". It matches the Rfam family "Bacterial small subunit ribosomal RNA", at positions 29 to 507 of the family's 1533-position model. The record is from RNAcentral.
AGUGAACGCUGGCGGUAGGCCUAACACAUGCAAGUCGAACGGCAGCACAGUAAGAGCUUGCUCUUACGGGUGGCGAGUGGCGGACGGGUGAGGAAUACAUCGGAAUCUACUUUUUCGUGGGGGAUAACGUAGGGAAACUUACGCUAAUACCGCAUACGACCUACGGGUGAAAGCAGGGGAUCUUCGGGCCUUGCGCGAUUGAAUGAGCCGAUGUCGGAUUAGCUAGUUGGCGGGGUAAAGGCCCACCAAGGCGACGAUCCGUAGCUGGUCUGAGAGGAUGAUCAGCCACACUGGAACUGAGACACGGUCCAGACUCCUACGGGAGGCAGCAGUGGGGAAUAUUGGACAAUGGGCGCAAGCCUGAUCCAGCCAUACCGCGUGAGUGAAGAAGGCCUUCGGGUUGUAAAGCCCUUUUGUUGGGAAAGAAAAGCAGCAGGUUAAUACCCCGCUGUUCUGACGGUACCCAAAGAAUAAGCACCGGCUAACUUCGUG